RNAcentral lists this unclassified non-coding RNA (299 nucleotides) under uncultured Acremonium. Its description in RNAcentral is "sequence contains 5.8S rRNA gene, ITS2". The stretch from base 1 to 70 matches the Rfam family "5.8S ribosomal RNA", at positions 85 to 154 of the family's 154-position model. Lineage: Eukaryota; Fungi; Ascomycota. The record is from RNAcentral.
UGAGUCAUCGAAUCUUUGAACGCACAUUGCGCCCGCUAGUAUUCUGGCGGGCAUGCCUGUCUGAGCGUCAUUUCAACCCUCGCCCCCGGCUUUUGCUGGGAGCGGUGUUGGGGAUCGGCCGCCCGUCACUGGGAGGCCGGCCCCGAAAUAGAGUGGCGACCACGCCGUGUGCUCCUCUGCGUAGUAGUAAAUCACCUCGCAGGCGGACAGCGGUGCGGCCUGCCGUAAAACCCCCAACUCUUUCUGGUUGACCUCAGAUCAGGUAGGAAUACCCGCUGAACUUAAGCAUAUCAAUAAGC